UAGUCUGGCAGGACACACAGCAAACUCCCUCUCAGUUUAGGAGAACUAUCCUAAGAAUAGGACUGGCUCUUAAAGGCACAAGAGGACAAU
Lemur catta (Ring-tailed lemur) is the source of this 90-nucleotide non-coding RNA. RefSeq annotates it as small Cajal body-specific RNA 11. The transcript has a single exon. Lineage: Eukaryota; Metazoa; Chordata; Mammalia; Primates; Lemuridae. The record is from RefSeq and is a predicted model, not a curated record.